AUGGGAAGUUCAAAACUACCUGCUAACCCCAGGGUUCUUUUGUGUGUGUGUCUAGAUUUCCAGUGGGUUGAAGGGGACGUGUGUGAAGUCCAGCUGAUGGUGUACAACCCCAUGCUGUUUGAGGUUCGAGUGCAGAACAUGAAAGCAAAGCAAACAUCAGAAACAUGGAAGAGAGGACCAAAAUCAAGGACAGCGGCUAUUGAUCUGACUGCCCCGUGCGUCACGUGUGCAUGGUCUCUGCAGUUCUCUGUGGGUUCUAAGAAGCCGCAGCCUUCCACUGCCUUGUUCUGGGCUGCCAGGUGUGUGGUGCAGGCUGGUCCUGCUCACGUUACUCUGUGCCUUGCUGCAGGGGCUGCUGACCAGUGGAGUGGAAUUCGAGUCGCGCCCCGCAGCGCUCUCCCUUCCGGCCGAGUCUGGUCUGUACCUGGUGACGCUCGUAGGGGUCCCACAGACGACUGGAACGAUCACCGUGAAUGA
RNAcentral lists this long non-coding RNA (477 nucleotides) under Oryctolagus cuniculus (rabbit). RNAcentral describes it as "lncRNA (ENSOCUG00000038086.1)". Lineage: Eukaryota; Metazoa; Chordata; Mammalia; Lagomorpha; Leporidae. The record is from RNAcentral.